CAAAAGUUUGGUCCCAGCUUUACUACCAACUACAAUUAAUUUUAUACAUGCAAGCCUCUUCAAACCAGUGAGAAACCUCCUAUGUUUUAACAUAAAGACUCGAUAUCAGGCAUAACAAGAGUUAACCAACGACAUCUAGUUAAACCACUCCCCCAAGGGUUACACAGCAGUAAUAAACAUUGACACAUAAGCACAAGCUUGACUCAGCUAUAAUUAAUUAGGGUUGGUCUAUUUUGUGCCAGCCACCGCGGUUAUACAAGAAACCCAAGUUGAUAGUACACGGCGUAAAGCGUGACUAGAAUAAGACAAAAAAAUUUAAGAUUAAAGCCUCACUAGGCUGUCAUACGCACAGUGCACUAACAAGCCCAACUAUGAAGGUGAUCUUAAUAAUAAUGAUAAUUUGACCCACUACCGCUGAAAAAACAAACUGGGAUUAGAUACCCCACUAUGCUCAGCCACAAAACUUGAAUAUUUACACUAACCCCCGCCAGAGUACUACGAGCAACAGCUUAAAACUCAAAGGACUUGGCGGUGCCCCAAACCCACCCAGAGGAGCCUGUUCUGUAAUCGAUAACCCACGCUAAACCUCACCAUCUCUAGUUCAACCCCCCCGCUUAUAUACCACCGUCACCAGCUAACCCUGUGAAAGAAUAAAAGUCAGCAAAAAUGACACACUCAAAUACGACAGGUCAAGGUGUAGCACAUGAGAUGGGAAGAAAUGGGCUACAUUUUCUAAAAAGAAUACAAAUAAUACCAUGAAAAUUAUAUUUGAAGCCGGAUUUGGCAGUAAGACCGGAUUAUAAUGCCGUUCUUAAGUCGGCCCUGGGGCGCGCACACACCGCCCGUCACCCUCGUCAUAAAUGACUAACAAAAAUAAAUAAUAAUACAAGUCCUAUUAGACGAGGAAAGUCGUAACAAGGUAAGCGCACUGGAAAGUGCUCUUGGAUUAAC
This 951-nucleotide non-coding RNA is filed under the name Microcaecilia dermatophaga (tiny white caecilian). RNAcentral's name for it is "12S ribosomal RNA". It matches the Rfam family "Bacterial small subunit ribosomal RNA". Lineage: Eukaryota; Metazoa; Chordata; Amphibia; Gymnophiona; Siphonopidae. The record is from RNAcentral.